GGAUUACGACUGAAUGCCUCU
This 21-nucleotide microRNA is filed under the name Cordylochernes scorpioides. Lineage: Eukaryota; Metazoa; Arthropoda; Arachnida; Pseudoscorpiones; Chernetidae. The record is from RNAcentral.